Long non-coding RNA from Zingiber officinale, 287 nucleotides. RefSeq lists it as uncharacterized. Lineage: Eukaryota; Viridiplantae; Streptophyta; Magnoliopsida; Zingiberales; Zingiberaceae. The transcript has 2 exons. The record is from RefSeq and is a predicted model, not a curated record.
CUCCGAAGCCCUAGAAGCUAUCUUGCUCGGUUGUAAGUCCAAGAACCGAAGAUAAAGGAAAAAGCUAAAGUAUAAGGAAGAAGGCGACAAGGAGGUGCUGUGACGGUGUGUGAUGUGUGGACUAUGGAGAGAUUCAGAAUUAGCUGACAAAAUUGUCAAGAGUUUUCUUUUAGUUCUCUUUUAAUGUUAUAUUGAAAUUGAGUUUAUUUCCGCAUUUGUAGUUUGAUACCUCCUAUUGUUGGAGUGAUAUGGUUGUUUGCCAUUGAUAGAGUAGUUUCAUAUUUUUA